Halichondria panicea is the source of this 3918-nucleotide RNA transcript. It is a transcript of the gene named proteoglycan 4-like, with no coding region annotated. The record is from RefSeq and is a predicted model, not a curated record. NCBI's taxonomy places the organism in Eukaryota, Metazoa, Porifera, Demospongiae, Suberitida, Halichondriidae. The transcript has 11 exons.
UUUAUUGUAACUGACAAUUAAGUUGUACUUAAGGUUGUUCAUACCAUGCAAGAAUGUGUUUUGUAUACUGUAUUUAAAUGGACUAUCCCAGCUGUACAGCUAGUAUAAUUUGUACAUUGGCACUCUUUGUACUUGCCCUGUUUGUGCAUAUUCUUGGCAAUACGUAAGACAACAGAUUAAAUUUACCUAUUCACUGAUAUGGUUGCCCUAAGACAUUGACAUUGUUGUGGCCUGGAAACUCUAAAUAUAGUAGUACAGACUAUUUAAUGGAUGAAUACUAUUUAGCUGCCGCCUCCUAGAGAUUGCUUAUACCACAGGUGUUGUCUUAUAUUAUAAAUAAGUCAACAUCCUACUCUGCCCAACUGGAGCUGACACCUGUCAUUGAAAACCACUCUAAUAUGUUUUGUUCACACAUUUACGUAGCUGUCUAUGUAAUAAUUAUGCCAUGUAAUGUGUUCACCCCUAUACCCUUCUCAAUGGCUCCUGACAGUGAAGUUUCAAAUUACAUACGUAUAGGUGCAUGUGUUUAAUUCAUGGGAGAAGUUAAUUGUGAAUAUUGUGUGAAUAUUGUUUCAUGAGCCAACCUUGAAUGUACAAUUUGCUGUAUGUCCAUGGCUGGCUUGUUAUAGGUAUAUAGACUGUAUCCAUAAAUAAUAGCAAAAGUCCAAUAAAAAGGGAGAGUAUUGAACGAAGCAUUACCUUGCAUCAGAUGUACCAUGCCGGAAAGUGCCUGGAGUAAAGUGCCUGGAUCCGCCACUUGCCUCGAGGCAGCAAUAAUGCUAUAACCAAAUUGUCAUAAUUUAUCACGCGUUUCAGACAGGAAAUCACGUUACUUUCCGAACUGAUACAAGGCAGCGAUUUGUUCGAUACUUUCUCUCUUUUAUUAUGCCGUCGUGGACUCUAGACAGUAUAAUUAUAUUAUGUGUGUGCAUGUACAUCAUGUAUUUGUCAGUAUACAUUUCCACAGGACAAAUCAAUGAUGAUUAUAGAGAAUCAAUGAUGAUUAUAGAGAAUAAAUGUAUGUGUGACAUGCUAACAUUGAUACUGCAGCUUAACUGGGAGAUAAGGAGUGGAAGUUGAGGCACCUGGUUGAUGUAUCAAACACCAAUUAAACACUGCAGGAUUAAUAGCGUUGACUCUAGAUUACCGUUAACUAUGGACGACUAAAUAUGUAUUGUGUUUCCUGUCAUGUGCCUUAUUGGUAAACUACACACCCCCAGCAUGUCAAAAAACUACACACCCCCCAGCAUGUCAAAAGACAGUGGUAGGUCUUAGCAGAUUGUGUGUAGCAUUAUUGAAAUAAAGAGUCACCUGAAGCAAUGGCAGAGAGAAAGGGGAGAAGGAAGGGUGGUAAAAAGUACUCACCCCCCACUUCUGAAGCGUCAUUUAAGGUGACAGCUAAUUGUAUUCAAGUAACUGACGGUGAUGUGAGUUCCCUAAACAUCGUCACUGGAACUCUUAAUGAGAAGAUGCGUGGUGGUCGUGAAGAGAGUGACACAGGCUUUGAAGGAGAGAUUACUUCUACAGAGAAGCAUACUACUCUGGACUACUCCAAAGUCAGAGGCAUUCAAAGACCAACAUCUGGCAUAUCUGGUUAUGAUGUAACGCUAAAGAGAAUAGUGACAGUCGCGCAGAUUGCUCCUAGCCAGAUUGUGGCAGUCUCCAAGACUUUUAAGUUCAAUGGGGACGGUAAGAAGACCCUGACGACUGAUAUACUCAAUGAGAUGAACAGCGAGGGGACUACUGAAAUGCAGCUGAAACAGCAGAUGAUCUUCUAUAAGGAUCAGCUUGACAAUAAGCGAGAGCCUAAGACUACGGAUGCGAAGCAGAAUGAACCUUCUGCCAAAUCUGUCAACCCUCCUGAAGAGCUUGAGAGCCCUCCUAACGAGUCCGGUAACUCUCCUGCAGAGCCUGACCCCCCACCCACUGACUCCCCUAAAGAGCCUGGUCUCACGUCCACUGAUUCCGGUACUGACUGUGUGAAUAAACUGGGGGACUCUGAUACGAAGGACAAUUUGAGGAAAAGUUCUGGUAAUGCCGAUAAUGUUCCAGCAGAAACUGAGAGUUCAAACGAGCCAACCAUCUCACAUGAUCCUCCCAGCACUCAAGGCUCUUCUGCCGGUGCUGGCUGUCCUAAUGAGCAGGGAAACUCGAGCGACCCUUCAUCCACACAGGACACCUCGACAACAGGCACUCCUAGCUACCAGUCUACUCCCAGCUCUAAGACUGACAAACAUAGUGACGUUACAUCUGAUCAAACUGAAAAUUCACAAACCCUGCGAACAUCACAUGAUCUUCCGUCUAAGGACAGUACCGCUAAGACGAAAGACUCACAUUUCAAUCAGAACCAUAAGAAAAGAAUGAAAACUCAACAGGAAACUCCAUCCCAAGCACCCAGAAAGAGAUCAUGUCGUUCUCGUAACAAAAGAGAUGCAAUCAAGAACCGGAAUCUGAAGAAAAAUGAAGGGAAAAACCAUUUCCCUAAGCAACCACCCAGCCACGAUGUCACAUGCACAUCCUAUGACACAGACGAGCAAUUAGUACAUCAACAAACACUCGAUUUGGCUUCUCGAAAGAAAAAACCGCUUCAACGGCGUAGAAGGGGAACAGCUACAAAAGGUGAAGAGUCAUGGCCAAAUUCUGAUGAUUCUGAGUCCAAGAGGGAUGCUACAGAUUGCUACGAGAGUACACGAUCUAGGGUCAAGUCCAAGCGACCAAACAGCAUCAAACGACACCGUACGAGAGCCCCACAAUCUGGUGAUGGAGGUGGUGCUCCGAGAGAUCCAGAGCAAAGUACACAGUCAUGUGACAGCGAUUCAGUGUCUGAGGAUAAGUCCUGGACUAGGCCAACUCAAGAGACUGACCCGGCUACUUCUACAGAGAUGGUCUACCCUCGUCCAAGGCCACUACCUUUGACUAAUGAAGGACAACUAAAUUUGUACGUCUCCUCUCAUGAACCACCUCGACUAGAGGAGAUGAUGGCCUCUAGUGUGCAAGUGUUUGCAGAGCCAUUGCAUGAUUCAUCAACCACUAGCCAGCUCGUGUCCCCUCCUUCGUGUGUGCCUGUCUCUCUACAACCGCCAUCCCUUUACUGGUUUCGCAUCAAUGUCAUCAGAGGAAGGAGUUGUGGUGAUUGGCAGUAUGCAUGUAGUAGCAAGCCCCUUAGCUACAUGCACUGUUAUAGUACUGCAUAUAGCAUACCACCAAGUGUAAGUAUUGUGAAUACUGUAUUAGCGGUGUUUUUAAUGUACCAUCAAGUAUAUAUGUACUGUACGUCGCAUAAUUCCUAUAUAUAUACAUGCAUACCCAGAACCACUUCACCAGUAUACUAGUCUAUUUGUGUUGAGUUUAACCUUCAUAAAGUUAUCAUAACUUGUCAUGCUUCACUGAAAUUCAAAAUUUCACAUACCAUUGGAUUCCUUGUUAAAAAGCGCUUCUAUCUAUGCUCUGUAGAGUUAAUAAGCUCCAACCAACUAUAAAAGUUAGCAUUUUCCACGUGGAAGUCCCUGGCAUACUCAUAAAGCAUAAAUGAAGCCAUAAUUGACCACAUUACUUCCGGGGCCGAACUCAACGCAAAUAGACAUGCGUAUAUACGCGCAAUUAAAGUAUAAGUACAAUUUUAAGAUGUUAAAAAAUACAGGUAGAGUUGAUGUGAGACUCACUAGAGAGAAGAGAGUGAGAUCUGAAUGCUUUAAAUCAGUAAUCAAUUCGAAGCUUUGGUCAGAAUAAUUAUGUCACUUCAGAUCCCUUUCUUAUAGAGAGGAGCAAGACGCUUAUCCAAUGGGAUCACGCUGAGAGAUGCUAUCACUGGAUGGGUGGAGACAAGAGAACCUAACCAACUGCGACGGCUAAUUGCUGCUCUUAUCCGAUUUGUGAUGAUGUGGGGGAGGGGCAUAAGAAGCCUCGAUGCCGUCACUG